Poecilia latipinna (sailfin molly) is the source of this 3706-nucleotide long non-coding RNA. RefSeq lists it as uncharacterized. Lineage: Eukaryota; Metazoa; Chordata; Actinopteri; Cyprinodontiformes; Poeciliidae. The record is from RefSeq and is a predicted model, not a curated record. The transcript has 2 exons.
GUUCUGGAAUAGAGGCUCAUCUAAAACAUGCAGAGCAGCGGGGCGGUGAGGACUGGAAUUGAGAAGCACUGGUCUAAACACAUCAGAAUGAUGAAGAUUAACAGUUUUAGUAGUUUGAAACUAGAAUCCAGAACUGUGAAACUUAAAGUUCUCAGUUUUUUGAAUCUUUUGCUGAGAUAAAGCUGUUUUGGCCCUCUCAGUUGCAACUCUCCUGAAACACAACAUUUUGACUUGGUUCUAGUUGCAAAGCACUAGAACAGGGACAUGCAGAGGGGGAUCAGAGGGGUCUUGAGCCCCUGCCCCUUUUAUCCUUUAUGGUCCUAUUGCCCUUUUUGAUUUUUUUUUUUUGUCAAGUUUUUUUUUUUUUUUUUUUUUAGUUGUGGGUCAGGGAGCCUCUUAGUGCCCCUCAACAAUAAUAUUUAGCUAAAUAUAAUUUUGCAAGAUAAAUUAGUCUGGCUGCCCUCAGUCUAAUGAUGACCCAGUCUAAUAAUGAGGAUUUUCAGUUUCUCUGCCUCCAUGUUUUUCAGACACCAGGCCCAAGGUGGGGAGGAGGGGGGCGGAUCUGCGUCCUCCAACUAUGGACAAGAUUUUUUUUGACAAAAUAAACAUAUAGGUCUGAUGUUGAAGUUAGAAAAACCGUUUAUUUUUCGUAAUAAGAAAUAUGAAAAAUAGUCAAAGACCAUCUUCGCAAUACACAGGCCAUACUUUUUCCAGCCCCUGAAACAGAAGCAAACACUGUACGUUCAGCCCCAUAGGUCAGUAUGUGCCUAGGUUGGCAAUCCAAAGCAAGGCCGCCUUUGUUUUCUGGCCCCUGGUCCAGUUUGGAUUUUGUUCCAGGACCAUGACCCUCGCUGAGCCCCAGCUGUGCUGGAUGUAAUGCGAGCUCAGCAAGGCAUAGGCCUUCCUCACCAUCCUCCGGGACACAUCUCACUCGUGUAAAACCAGUCGCGCCAGCAUUGUAUUUGCCGUAUGACCCACAAAUCUGUUUCUGCAAACCGGGCAACUAAUUAAAUAAACACAAUUUUGUCUUUGUGGGCCCCCGCCAGGUGGGACUAAAUAAACUUUGUGGGUACAAUGAUGUAGCAGCCAUUUUUGGUGUCUGAAGCAUUGCCCCUGCCCAAUUGCACUCUGCUCCAUCUGAAAUCUGAUUUUGGCAUGAACGUGAUGGUCCCUCAGGUUCCUGUUUGGUCAGAAAGCAGGUAUGACCCUCCUAUUGGUCAGCCUUCCACUAAGAGACUGGAAUCCUACAAAAAAAUUUCUCAUAACCUUGGUCCAGAUUGACGUUAGCAGGUGAGUAGGUGCUGAUAAAAGGAAGUGACAUGGUUCGAUCUGGCUGCUUGGAUUCAGAAAAGGUCCUCAAACACCUCCUUAAGAACCUCUGAUACCCCCUGCUGGACAAAGCUAUGAACAGAACCCUAACUGCUUCAUAAAAAUCUGAUUUUUAUGAAACCAUGCUGUGUGUCCGGUAUAAAAAUCAGAGUUAAAUCGAGUUAAAUUGAGACUUCUGUGAGUAUUUGUGCAAGAUUAUGUGUGAAGUGUCAAACAGAAUUAUUGAGGAACCCCCAUCAACCUUUUAUUCUCAAAAGAUGAAUAAGGAAUUGAAAGUAGUCUGAUUUAAAGUUAAUUAAACCUUUAUUUCUAAAAGAACACCAGAAUCUGGUUUUAAACCGAGUUAAAUCCACCUUUUAUCUUCUAUUCUUUACCUUUACUAUUUCGUUUUUUAGUGAUGCCAAAAGAAGCUAUAUAACUAAUCUGAGCCCGGAGAAGACUUACCCAGUGUUAGCUGCAACGGUUCAGCUGUAGCCUCACGUGUUCUCUGUGAUCAAAAUGGCAGCAUGCAGCUGUAGUACAUAGUAAAGAAGGAACCGUAAUGCACUCUGGGGAAGUCCAGCAGCCAUAUAGUCCAAACCUGAUUGUCCGUUCAGGUUCUUUGCCGAUCUCUAACUUGUUUCAAAGCUUGUUUUAAUGCAUCUAGGUCGAAAGAGGAGCUCAUGCUGAUUUUCAACAGUAUAUAGUUUGUCAGAUGUUAAGACUCCUGUCCCCAAAAUGCAAUAAACAGCCAGUAUAAAAUCAAUUAGCAAAUUUUGUUUUUACACAAAUAAGGUGUGCAUUUUCAGAAAGUAACCCAAAAACAAAACAAAGUAAAUGGGGGAAAAAAAUCUUAGCCUGCCCUCACAAACACUAAGGCAAGACAAAUAAUCCAAAACUUGGUGGACUAAAAAAGGAAAUCAAAUUCAAGAGACAGCAGGAGCAGUGAUAUAACUGCAUCAGAUAAACCCACGUUCUCUGGUUUACCACACCAACUCUAAAGUCACCCUUGAUGUGGUAGAUCUGAUGCAGCCCUGCGGCAUCGAGUAACCACAUCCCCAGGUAACGCAACCCCAAAACGUCAUUAAUAGGAGGGCCCAGGCAGCAAACAGUGGCGCAGCACACACCUGGUCACACAGGAAAUUGACACUUUGCCACCAUCCUUCCAGCUUCCCUUUUAAGGAAGCUCAAGCCGUGGAGGGAGUGACACCUGGUGGUUCCUUAGAGCGAAGACCUAAAGCUGAGCAGGGUGUGUGCAUUUCAUCUCGGGGUAGCCAUGUUUGUUUGGUGAUGUCUUUAAUGUAUUUAUCUCCUUUAGCUCCACAGACAAUGCUCUGAGGCCCAAAAGGUGGAGGCGAAGCUGUGAGGGAUACACAGACCUGGGCACUUUUCUCAAGUCUUUUAGGAUAACCCUGAAUGAUGUGCCGCCUCCUAAAAAGAAAGUGGAGGCCGGAUUCCGCCCUGACAAGUAGCCUCCUUGACAAGUUGCAGUUAAUUCAGUUUAAGACAAGGCGGUACCACCUGAUUGAGUUUUUUUUUUUCUUUUCCUCCUCUUACUGACCCUACCAUACCAGGUUCUGAUGCAGGGCAUGUUAUAUUCAGGUCUAACCGCAUGCAUGGGUAGUUUCUGUCUCCUGGCUAAAUGGAGCCGGUAGAAGCUGGAGAGCUUCAUUGCAAAGUCCAACUGAGCUGGGAACUCUAACACUGCAGAGGAGGUCCUGGAGAUCUGCACAGCGCUAUCCACCGCACCCCAAAAGCCAGCCAGGACUUUAUGUGCCACAUCCAGGACCAGAGGUGAAUGGGACUUGUCAUUUCGGAGAGCAAGAACACUGUCAGCAGAAGAGGACUUUCAUCAAGGGGUCCAUCGCAUGUGACUACCAUGGAAUAUUCACUAUUGCUGCCGAGGCUGGCAGCUUGCAGGGUCCCUGAAGGCAGGACAAGAUGCAUAGAUUUACUUUUUCAAGUCUGGGGACCAUGGACUUCUGCAUAAACUCUCAAGUCCACCUGUGUGACAGUCAUCCGCAGCUCGCCAUCUUUGGCUGACCAAUAAACCGUUCUGCCAACAUCAUCAACACCAAAUGUCUGUUAGUGAAGUUCCCAGGCCUGGCAGACCCAUUUCUCCUAAUAAAAACAAGAGACAUCAAGCUGGGAGAGGAAAUCUACGUGGACCAUGGGGUGAGGCAGCACUCGUUUAGGGUUGGAAGGCCAGGGGAUGAUCUUAGCUGGAUGGGUGAGGUUGGCUCACCUCCCAAGAGAAAUAAUUUAGUCUUAUGUUGACAAUGUUCUAUUCAAUAAAAUUUGAAGUUUUAGUUUUGUAAUUGCUCUUUUCUGUGUACUCCAAAGUUCAGUAUGACUUUAAAUUGUGUUGUUGCAAUUAAAGUUUUUGUUUUGUCUUGUG